Molecule: non-coding RNA, 86 nt
Organism: Acanthosepion pharaonis
Lineage: Eukaryota; Metazoa; Mollusca; Cephalopoda; Sepiida; Sepiidae
Source: the annotation of a GenBank genome assembly
GGUUCCUGUACAAUCACCGAAGUUAAGCAAUGUUGAGCCUGGUCAGUACCUAGAUGGGUGACUACUUGGGAAUAACAAGUGCUGUG